GGCCUCGUGGCGCAAAGGCAGCGCGUCUGACUCCAGAUCAGAAGGUUGUGUGUUCAAAUCACACCGGGGUCA
RNAcentral lists this transfer RNA (72 nucleotides) under Tinamus guttatus (white-throated tinamou). It matches the Rfam family "tRNA". Rfam says of the family: Transfer RNA (tRNA) molecules are approximately 80 nucleotides in length. Lineage: Eukaryota; Metazoa; Chordata; Aves; Tinamiformes; Tinamidae. The record is from Rfam by way of RNAcentral.